This 857-nucleotide ribosomal RNA is filed under the name Bipolaris sp. PP60. Its description in RNAcentral is "eukaryotic LSU rRNA". It matches the Rfam family "Eukaryotic large subunit ribosomal RNA", at positions 66 to 941 of the family's 3401-position model. Lineage: Eukaryota; Fungi; Ascomycota; Dothideomycetes; Pleosporales; Pleosporaceae. The record is from RNAcentral.
CAACAGGGAUUGCCCUAGUAACGGCGAGUGAAGCGGCAACAGCUCAAAUUUGAAAUCUGGCUCUUUCAGAGUCCGAGUUGUAAUUUGCAGAGGGCGCUUUGGCUUUGGCAGCGGUCCAAGUUCCUUGGAACAGGACGUCACAGAGGGUGAGAAUCCCGUACGUGGUCGCUAGCUAUUGCCGUGUAAAGCCCCUUCGACGAGUCGAGUUGUUUGGGAAUGCAGCUCUAAAUGGGAGGUAAAUUUCUUCUAAAGCUAAAUAUUGGCCAGAGACCGAUAGCGCACAAGUAGAGUGAUCGAAAGAUGAAAAGCACUUUGGAAAGAGAGUCAAACAGCACGUGAAAUUGUUGAAAGGGAAGCGCUUGCAGCCAGACUUGCUUGCAGUUGCUCAUCCGGGCUUUUGCCCGGUGCACUCUUCUGUAGGCAGGCCAGCAUCAGUUUGGGCGGUGGGAUAAAGGUCUCUGUCACGUACCUUCCUUCGGGUUGGCCUUAUAGGGGAGACGCCAUACCACCAGCCUGGACUGAGGUCCGCGCAUCUGCUAGGAUGCUGGCGUAAUGGCUGUAAGCGGCCCGUCUUGAAACACGGACCAAGGAGUCUAACAUCUAUGCGAGUGUUUGGGUGUCAAGCCCGAACGCGUAAUGAAAGUGAACGGAGGUGGGAACCCGCAAGGGUGCACCAUCGACCGAUCCUGAAGUUUACGGAAGGAUUUGAGUAAGAGCAUGGCUGUUGGGACCCGAAAGAUGGUGAACUAUGCUUGAAUAGGGUGAAGCCAGAGGAAACUCUGGUGGAGGCUCGCAGCGGUUCUGACGUGCAAAUCGAUCGUCAAAUUUGGGCAUAGGGGCGAAAGACUAAUCGAACU